GCCGGGUUAGCUCAGUUGGUUAGAACACGGCGCCAAUAACGCCAAAUUCGCAGGUUCAGUCCCUGCUCACUGCA
This 74-nucleotide transfer RNA is filed under the name Pelecanus crispus (Dalmatian pelican). It matches the Rfam family "tRNA". From Rfam's summary of the family: Transfer RNA (tRNA) molecules are approximately 80 nucleotides in length. Their secondary structure includes four short double-helical elements and three loops (D, anti-codon, and T loops). The record is from Rfam by way of RNAcentral. Lineage: Eukaryota; Metazoa; Chordata; Aves; Pelecaniformes; Pelecanidae.